UUAGUAACAUUAGGAAAAUUUUAAUUCUGAGAUCUUACAACAUGGUUCACAUAAAUACCAACAACUCAGAUAUGUUAUUUCAAAAUCUCACCAGAGUUCUAAAGAGUCUUCUAGUCAACACAACAACUCUUAAGAUUUAAGGCUCCAACAUCUUGGCUCCUAAACAAACUAACAUACGCUGCCACACACACCCCACUAUAAGAAAUAAAUUGCUUGUCUGUCUAAGCAGUUUUAUAGCUUUAUGCACUAUCAUGUAGCUUGGUAAUUAUGAAGCUGCAUCAGAGACCAUUUCAGAACAAAACCUACUAUAUCAAAUUUAAUUUGACUGUAAUAAAUGUAUUGAAAAACCACAAGCAUGCACAAAGAAAAAAUUCUUCUCCUUAUACUAGCAUUUGUAUUCCACAUAUGGAGAAUUAUGUGAUAAGAUGAUGCCUGUUAAAUCCAUAAGGUAAUUUCCUGGUUCCUUAAUUUACAGUACCUGUGUUUCAGAGACAGUGGCUGGGAUCUCAAAGAAUUUUUAUCCAUCAUUUCUUUACCCCAGACAUACCCAAGGGUUUGACUUUAUAUUUUCUGAUUAGCAGUUAAGCAAACAUAUAAUGCUUUAUAUAUCAAAGCUAGUAAAUAUAGGAAAAAAAUGGGGGUUUAGGCAGAAAAAACCCCCUCCCUCAUUGUACCAUAAAUCGGUGGAAUUAAACACUAUUAAAAACUUAAAGUACACUUCAAGCAAUUUUUUGCAUUUAAUUACUAAAUAACUUUUUUGGUCAAAUCCCAUAUGUUGACCUAUGACAUUGUUUAAAUAGUGCCAAAUUUUCUUGUCAUAUCCCCAUUACUUUCACAACCAUUGAUGCAGUGCAGAAAUGCUACUGUGUGUCUCUAUAAGGGUUAAUUUACCAACAACUCUUCUCUUGGGAAAGCCCUAAGAUGGAGGUUAAUAAAGGUCAAGCAAAAAAUAAACACUUUACAGUAUUUUUUGAAUCCAUUCCUCAGGAAAAUCAACUUAUAAUAAAAAGGUCUUUGUGCAAUUACUGCUAUGGCGCUGGGGCGUGAAAGAAACUAGCUUUACGCAGCUAUUUCUCUCAUUUUAGCUGAGGUAAGCCUGGCUGUGUGUUUUAGGUUAUGCAUUAAACUUGGUCAGAUUGGAGUUGAUCCCCAUGUGCCCACAACAGACAUUCAGCUCUGAUAAAAUGGCGCUGGUUUUGCUGCCUAGUGUUUCUAUACAUUGGCUCUACAGGAGCACAGCAAAGGAAAACUGCAGGCUUUGUUUGAUAGAAGCAACUGUACUGGAAGAAAUUCAAUGCAAUAUAACUUGCAAAAAAAUUGCAGUAGUUUCUAAAUAACAUCUAAUCAAAUGGAGCCAAAAUCAUAAAAAAAUAUCCCUCAUAUAAAGCAUUUACAUGGAGCUGCAAAGGUACAAGACUCCAGCACAGUCUCACAAGACACAGAAGAGAUCAGAGUACUGCGGUUUGAGAGAAGGUGCAAACAUACCCACCACAGUAUUUCACUCCACUGUGUCAUAAAGAUAAUUUGAAACAUUCCAUAACCAAAUCCUACAAUGCAUUCCUGUAGAUUUUGAUCUACUCAGCUGUACAGAUUUUGUUUAAACUCUCAAAUAGAAGCACUUCUGUAAGUGUGGGGAAUUACCAUUUCAAGUUCUGGCUAUCUGCUAUUCUUCCUACUCUGAAUUCAGGAGCAGGUCUUCAGUCUAUAUAAAUCAGCAUAACUUUGACUAUAGGUUACAUUUAGGUUGUAAGUUUGGAUUUACAAUUAAGAGACUUAAACAGACUGAAAAAAGCUCAUACUGAAAGGCCAUCAUUCCCUCCCACAGGUCUUCCCUCUGGCACGUAUGAAAUACUAUUCCUACAUAAGUGUUGGUUUCACACAAAAUUAUUAUAUACAUGGGUGUCCAUUUUCAGCAGAGGUCAACUGAAAAGCACAAAUAAACACUGAAAAGGAAGAGAAUGUGAAAGUAUCACUGAUCACAGAACUCUUAAAUACAUAACAUGAAUGCAAAAAAUUCCAGUUAACUCCUUAAUUUUUGACACUUUCUAUUCCUGAGAGUUUUAUUAUUAUGAAGAUGAUGGGUUUGAUUUUACUGAGCGGGGGGAGAAAUUGGGAGGAGGCGUUGAUCGGUGUACUUCAUAAAAUCGGCUACAUGCCCAGAAAUUUUAAUUGCUGAGAUGUUCCUCAGGUCUUUCUGAAAACCAAGACGGGAGCAGAUGCCCAAGAAACACUCUGACUCUGUCUCUUCCCAUUCGUAAAAAUAGCACAUUGUUGGAUCGGCACUUUCCCCUUUUGUCUGCUCUGUGCUAAGUCGUUGAUGAUGCCAUUUUUUGCCAUCUGCCCCAGAGCUUCAUUAAAGAUACAUGAAUGGACUAACUGGGCUGCUAUCUUGUGAGGAACAGGUGCUAUUGUUUGUCCCCAAAGACUUGCACUAAAGAUCUCACUCAGAAUACUUGAGAAAGAGCAUCUGCAGCAGUCAGUCAGAGAGUAACUUGGCAGAGCCCAUGCUAUGGGCUAAUAUGCAAACAGAGACACUCAGGGGGACUCAUUUUCUCUUUCAUGAAGUUUUUUUUUAUUUUUUUGAGGGUGUUUUUGGGUGUUUUUUUUGGGUUUGGUUGUUUUUUGCUUUUUGGGGGUUUUUUUGAUGGGUAGUAAAUGUUUGAUUUUGAACAAUUCUGCCAGUCUGUAUUUUCAACUGAAUGUACAAACCCUGGAGGAGACCAGACUAUAUUCUCUCCAAAAUUCAGUUCUGCUGCCUCAAGUACAUUCGACUCUUGCAUAAAGCUACCUCAUGAAAUUAAUCUUUGUUUCUAUACAACAAGCUCAGGUUUAACUGUGUUAAACACAAAAAUCUGCCAAGAUUGGGAACAUUUUAAAGAUAGUGUACCAUUCCUUUAAUAUCCCAUCACAACUCUGACAGCCCUUGGGAACUGAUUACAGCACUUCCUUGCCUGAGAUCUAAGUCAGGAAGCAACUUUAGAGCAAAUCAGCCCUGAUUAGUUCAAGAAGCAACUUCCAAUUUGAUUCUCCCUGAAAUAAUAAAAGCUGGUGGCCUGUUUGAUAAACUGGGCAAAUCUACACUGCUUUGUCCCACAGUUCUGUGAGUGAUAAUCUCAGAAGUCGGCUGAACAAUCCUCCUUGUUAAAAAGUCAUCGGUAGUUAAUGUUUUGCAUGGAAAAUGUAAGCCAGAGUGAUAUGUUAUACAAAAAUAAUGCUUUGAAUUACAAUGAUCUGCCUCUUUUGGAUAAGGAGCACAGCAUAUUUAAUGAGACGGAAGAGGAGGAAGAGUUUUAUCUUUAAAAACCAAAUCUGCCUCUACAACAACUAACAUUGCAAGUAGAGAAGUAAAGGCAUUUAGAGAAAAGGGUGGCAGCAAAGAAGCAGCUCACACAUUUCUUCUUAGCUGUGAGGAUCACAGGUUUCAAGAGCAGAAGUAAUCCCACCCUAUAAUGGCAGAUGAAUUCCUCUUCCUUUAGAAGAUCAAACUUUGCAAGCUGCCUCUCUCUGCACAAUCUACUUCAGUAAAGAGCAAAAGUGCCAUCUUUUUGCUAGAGAGCAAACACAAUCUUUAUAAUUUUUUAUCCCUUCUUUAAAGGUUUUUUUCUACUUUAUUAUGUCCACUAGUAUAAAGCAAUUUGAAUGGCUAAAUAUGCUCUAAUUGCCUACAAUAAUCCAGCCUUACUAUUUAAAAUCAUUGCCACCCCCUUCUUCAACCAAUUAGAUCGCUGGACCCUGUUCUCAAACUGUGGAAAUCUUGAGAUUUGCUUUGAAUCCGACAGACUAUUCCAACACAAGUUAGCUGAGAAACCAAUCUUUGAAUUUACUGGACCGACAUUUUUUCUAUAGUACAGGAUGAACAGAACCUUCUGUUCGUGUGAUGUUGCAGCCACUGUGAGAACUUAAGUUGUUCACAGGGAGGCUUGGACUUCUCAUAGUUUAAAUUUUAAUUUCUAUCUAAGACAUCUUAAAUUCUUGACAAACUGGUGCACCCAGACUACAACUUUAACCUAAGCCCUCACUGAGUUUUGAAUUUCCAUAGUAAAAAUGUGUUGGAAAUCUUCUAGUCUCUCAUUUAGAAAUUACAGUGUAAUAGAUUUCCAGGUAAUGGCAGUAUAUCAAGUAAGGAUGUGCAUUUUCAGACUGCUCAAAAUGUUUAUGUGAUAGAACGUAGGGGCCUUAACUGAUAGCUCAACAGGUUAUAUUUUAGGUUGAUUCAUUUUAAAAUAAGUCUUAAUGGCAUUGAAAAGAAGUGUUUGGGCUCACAGAACUAUUAGUGCAAGAUUUUAAAUAUCCUGUAUGUGAUAUGUAUUUACCUCAGCUGCAUUUUAAAUAGUCUCUAUGCAAUAUGUCGCGCUGCUACUUUUAUAUCACUGUCAGAUUUUUACUUAUUUCAAAAACUAGUGUUGGGCUUUGUUCUUUUUUUGGAAAAGAAGAAAUAUUAGAAGUUUUGAUAAUUUAAAUUUUAUUUUGACUAAGUCAUUUUGGGAGAUGCUGCAGGAACACAAACAUCAUGUUGCAUAAAGAAGUAGGGACUUCUUUGAUAAAAACUGAUUACGUGAAAGUCAGAGGGACUGUGUAAAUGCUAAAAGCAGCUACAUGCUAAGAUUUCUGCAGGUUUGAGCUUAAAUCUCCUCCCCAACUCUGCCAAUAUCUUAAUGAACUCAUUCCAUCACUGACCCCUUUCAUGGUCCCAGAAAGGAUCUAUUUAGCAAAACUGCAGAGGAAUCGUACAAUAAAAAAAAUAUAUUUUGGAAAUGUUUUUGGCUACAGUUGAAUGGUGUGACUGUUUUAUUUGUGCUGUUCUGGUGAAGCAAAGGGACCGCAAGGCUGGGUUAGCUGUCCAGUUCAGUUCACUUAGGAAGGACCUGGCUACUUUGUGUGCAAGUGUGGCUGAGCCUUUUGCUCUCAGAAAUGUAACUGAUGAAACUCCCCAGGCUCAUUUGGCUGAGUGGCCAUCAAUGCCCAACAUCCCCAGCUCCAAAGGUAAUAAGUGAGGGUGGCCUCAAACACUUAAGCGAGAAAUCCCCUCUAGGGAAUAAUGCCAGGGAAGCACCUGUGACUCGGCAGGAGGAAAGGCAACUGGGAAAAGAUGGGCUCCAGAAGACCCAAAGUGACCCCCCAGUCACUGUGUCACAGCUGGAACACUGCAAAACAUGUCAGUAUAGCUCCUACAUUGAGAAUUAUUCAGAGACUUCUUUCUGCUCCUGCUAGCAAUACAGAACCGCUGGAGAUCUAUCUGUAUAGGGAGGUAUAUUAUGUUCUAAUUUAUCUGCCAUCUAAUUAUCUACAGUCUAAUUGAAAAAUGUUUCCUCUCAGUGAAAGUACAUGAGCCACAAAGAAAAUGUCUGCCAAUGGGAUCCCAGGGGAAGUGUUGGCAAAUAAACUGUAAAAAAGAUACCAUAGACUUGCAAAGUGAGAACAUUUCAGACUGGAAAUACUAUGGAAAAAAUACAUGGCCCACUAUUGAAUUUGUAAAGGGAUUGUAACUGCUAUUUUCUUUCUUUUUCCCUAUCAUUUUUUUCCAUUUGUCCAAUGCAUCAGCACGGUUUGGAGAUUUAAGUCUACUGCAGUGGCCACAACAUUAAUGUGAAAAUUGCAACCAUGAUCAUACAGCAAAAUAGAGCAUCCUUAUUUUUUAUUAUGUUUUUUUCCUCACCACUUCGAAACUUGAAAUUAAAUAAACUUAAAUUCCAUCUACUUGGGAAAUCAAGAAGGAAGCUACAGAAAAAUACUGACAACAUCACUGAAAACGGAACAGUUUCAAACACCAGAUAGCAUUUCAUUUCUAUUAGCUCCUCGUUAUGUUGCCCUGUUUUUAUCUAGCUCCUUAACUAUCUGGAAAUAUAGAAUUCAACUUAGGAUGAUCUCAUGGAGUUAGGAGUAUGAUAAAUGGUAAUUAAAUCUAUUUAAAUUGUCUGUAUUUUAAGAAACUCUCACUAGGAGGGAUGGAGAACAUCUCUGCUAUAGAGAAAUAAAUAAAACAUGUUAUGCAAAAGUGAAUUUAUGGUUCAUUUGGAAUUAGAGAUCUACCACCUUUUCAAUCCAUACAAAUGCAUAAUCUUGUCAAUUAAAUAUUAUUGUUAAGGUCUAGUAGUAUGUUAAAAUCACUUUAAAGUGCAACUAAGGAAAAUUCAUGUGUGUUUAUUACUCCUUAAGGGUCUAUUAGUGGGUAUUUUAUUCAGAUUUGUGUUGUAAAAUCUGCAUAAACUCAGCAUAUUGUUAUCCCCAUGUGUGCAUUUGUUUGGUUAAAGCAUAACAGCAAAUCUCUAUUACUGCAACUUCUGGAAAAGUCAAGAGAACUAAAACAGUCCUAAUUUUAAUCAGAUACAAACAGUUAUCUCUACAGAAGUGAAGAGUUGACUAUUAUGCAAAUUGUCACAGUUAGCGGUCACCAAGCCAUCACAGAAGACUGAGCAAGUCAAUUAUUUCAGAUAUUUCCAAAGACUAGUGAAGAUGUAUGUUUCUCAUUUCCACCUUGUCUUAUUCACGCCAAAAUAAGAAAAAUAUUGCAGCCUAAUGAUACUUGUUGAUAUUUUUUAUACACGAAAGCACCAUUACUUCAGUUCAAAUCUAAAUAUAAAUUAUGUUAGAAAUCCCUUAUUAGCUAUGUUUUAAUGGUGAUAUCAAAAUGUGCAAGAUUUUUGGAGUACACUGACAUUUCCUGUUGGUGGAAAUAUUUACAGUGAAAGAUGCUCUAAAAUUUGUGUAUGGUAUUGCUACGUUCAAGCAGAGUUUCUCCCCACACAUCUUUUCAAAACAGAAUUCUUCUUUUUGAAUACUAACCAUCUCUAGUUAUUAACAUGAAACUAAUUCCCUCAAUGUAUGGUAUAAAAAAAAGUCAUGUCAGACCACAAAACUGAUGGUUACUAAAGGAAUUACUGUCUUUCACCUUAAAGAGGAUGUCCAGCAGAAGUAGGAAUAAAAAUAAAAAAGUAUUUCAAUGACUCUGAUCAAAAAUCCUUCUGCACUGUAGAGGUAAAAACAAAUGCAACAAAAUAGAACAUAUUUAAACAAAUAUAGAAUAUAUUGGAAAUUGGGGGGGGCACUGAUAAAAUUGGGAAUUUUUGCAUUUUCUUCACUGUUGGAAGAAUUUCGUCCUGAGCUGCAUAUUCUUUUUAAAACUCUAUAUUUUCACAGAUAUCCCAUAUUAUAAUGCCACUUCAUAAGGACUGCUACAUACUUUAAAAGUAUGAAUUAAUUCAAGCUCAAAGACUCAUUCAGGAGAGAGUAUUACAGCUACAGUUUGCACAGGAGGACCCUCAAAGAGGCCUGGGUUUCUUUUCCAGUGCCAGAAGUGGUGAUGUGUGAUGGGUAGGAACCAAUUCCAUUGUAAUCUGCUGCUUGCAAACCUUGGCAUCUCACCACACAGAUGUACCAAGAGCCACCCGAGGUGCAGAGCUAGGGUGAGGAGGGACCUGCUCUGCUGGAAAAGCAGUUUUGAGCUGGUCCACGCCAGCACUGCACAGUUGAGCCCUCCAACACUCACAUAAUGGCAGGAUACAAGGGUGGAGGUGAAACAAAGGUGCAAAAAGGAGACACUUUUCCCAUUCCACCCAGUCCUCUGGUUAAUUUCUACUGGUAUUUAUAAUACAGAAGAAUAAAUUCAAAGAGAAGGAGAGGCAAGUGUUGCUAUUUUUCCUCAAGCCUAAAUGCAUAAUAUUCAAGAGACUAGGUCAAAGGAGUUACUCACAUCCAGUGAGAAUAUUCCUGCUCCUGUAUGUUUUUGAAAGCUAUUUAAUGCAGAAUAGUAACCUAGAUAACUUCCAGAAAUCCUAUGAUGUUUAUGGAGUGUUUAGAUCGAAACACAAAGGGUUAUCAAAGGCAAUUAUGUGGAGAACUAGCUUAAUGCAGAAAACUCCUGUGUCUAGAGAUCAAAGUCAAAUCAGAAUACUGAUUGCAUGCAAAAAUUAAUUUGUUCCAUCUCUUCCUAGGAUUCCUCAGAUUUUGGCAUGAUCUGACCGUCUUUGCUCAGAAAAGGAUCCAAGGAACUGGUGUGUUUACACAGUAUGACUGAGGUGAUUGCCACCGCUGGUCCAUGGUAAUUAUUGCAAAUUUGGGAGCAGGCACCGGAGUUUGUAAACUUCCAGUGGCAUCCAUACAGCCUGCGUGCUUCCUACACCCACUGUCUCACUCCAGUGGAUUUUAUGGGCUUCCUAACCUUCUACAGCAUUUAUGAUUAAUCUACAAAAACACUGUGAAAGAACAGGAUCAUUAGAAAGGUAAAACGAGGCAGGAAAUCAGGAAAUCUUUAGAACGAGCCCUGGGUAUUUCUUAUCCAACUUUAGGUAUUAAAAUUCCAGCAACAUCUAUGGCUCAGAUACAAAACCACAACGCCGCGCUGCCUUUUCUGCAGAGGAUCCUGACGCUCCGGCAGGAACGCCAACCUUGCCAUUUUCUGCCUUUCCCCAAUUUGUCAAAACUCCAGCGCCACUCGAGGCGCGCUUUCGGCCGGCCAGCAGCCGCCGGCGGUGGGAAGCCAUGGUGGCGCUCCGGACGGAGCCCUGGCUCGGGUCGGAGCCGCGGCAGCCGGGGCGAUGCCCGCCGGGCCGCGCCGCCCGCAGCGCUCGGCGGAGCCGCGGCUCCUCCGCCGGGCUGGAUGGGGCCAGCGGCGCGGGCUGCGAGCUCCGCGGCCGUAACAAUGGCCCUUUGUCCAGCUGUGGCCGCUUCCCCCUCCGCAGCCAGGCCUUAUCUGCUCAGGAAAUGCCUGCUUUAACUGACAGGGAAAAAGGAAAUAAAUGGGUGAAUUUCAGUCUUGACAGUUGUAAAUCUGUUACCAGGAUGAAGAAGUCAGAUGUACAGAUGUGCUGUUCUGUGGAGCUAUUCCUGAUUUGCAGAGGUAAGUGGGAUCUGGGACAGGUUUGUGGCUUCUAUCCCAUCAGAAUUCAUUUAUUUAGUGAGAAGAAAUAGAAGAUUAUUUACUUCAUAACAACUUUUAGAAAAUCCUUCUCAACAAGUGCUAAGGAACACUGUGUUCUUUCCUACUGCUAUUUUCCCUUCUUCAACAUGAAAAAGCAAAGCCUGGAAAGAGUAGAUAAGCUGAGAGUCCUAUGUGCCAUUCCAGUGAUCCACCAUCCAUUCCAUUCUUCUCAGAAAGGAAAUAUAUAUUUUUCAUUUAAAAUGCGACCCCUAAAACCUUGAAUUCUUCUCCUUGCUAGAGGACUGUCUACUCAGGAAAGAUUAAAAGCAUUUAAAAUUUUGAAGCUAGUUUCAUUCUUAGCACUGCAACCUGUAGAUUGUUCAUUUACCAUCUUCUUUUACAUACAAUAGAAGCUCAAAGAAUAAAAACUGCUCAGGUAAUUCUAUGAUGAUAGCUAAGAUACUUAAGAUGCCUAGAUUAUGUAAUGGAUAUACUGAAUCAAAAUACUGAAAUUAGGGAAAAAAAAUUCUCUAAUACUUUUUGAAUUGCAAUUCUUUUAUGUAGAUAUGGAAGACUGUAAAUUUCUCAACUAAUUUCAAACCCAAUUCUGAUAAUUAUAACCAUUAUAUUGUAAAUAAAAUAAUGUAAUAUAUUGGUUCUGAAGGGGGACAACUGAACUGGAAAUUUAAAAUAAGGUUAUGAUACGAAAAUCACACGAAAACAUUGAUCCAAAAAGCAAGCUGCUUCUACCAGGAUCAUUUUAUAAUUUCUGCUGUGGUCUCAGCUUUCACAACUGUACAUGCACCAUGUCCUGAGCAUGGGCUACAAGCUUUGAUGCCACACAACUCAAAGCCUUCUCCCAUGCCAUGUUGAAGCCUGUUCUGACAAUGACUUCACAGAGCAAUGGGAAAACACUUUUUUCCACCUGUUUGGGCUCUGAUUUUAAGAGGAUCAGUAUGUUCUGAUUGAGAAGAAUCAAAAGGGCUGCCUGUUUCACAAGGGAGUUUCCUGUUUGUUUCAGAGUAGGAAAUAAGCCUGAAACCACGUAAUAUUUCUUGACAAAGUGCUUUGCCAGUGAUGACCACAACAUUUUCAAACUGUUGCACUGGAAUGGCUCAUCUUUCUCUCAAGGUAACAACAGAGUUCACUAACACUAUCCAAAGAAAAUAAUUGUGUUUUCCACAUUAAAAAAAAAAAAUAAAUUACAUCAAUCUGUCAAACUAUGGACCUAUUCUCCACAGAGAAUUCCAACUGCCAGUAACACAGGGGGCACCUGAGCCCCACAUUGGAAAAAGGGUGUAAAACACCUACUUCUAAUGGGCAGCACCACUAGACAGCACAAAAGGCACCAUAGAGGUCUUCUUACAUAUUUAAACACAUAUUCAGACAUAUUUAAAUAUGCAGUGAGAGGCUUAUAAAAAGCAUACCAUACUAGACCUGUAAUUAAGUAAAUAUUAAUAUGCUUUACAUAUGCCGAACCAUUUAUCUGGACAAUAUUAAUUAUCAUAGUUACAUGAAGCAAUAAGCACUAAUGACAAUUCCUACUACCAUAUGUGAGAAAAGGAGAGGCUGAUAAAGAAGAGGAAGACAUUGGACAUUUUGAAAAAAUCAAUUCAAGAGCUUAAAGAGAUAGUGAUUUUCAUUGCAGAUUCCAAAUUAAAUGAGUCCAUCUUUGUGUUUUGUUGUUGUUUUUUUUGUUGUUUUUUUUUAGCAACCAGGACCUUUAAAAGGGCAAUUUUGCAAAGAGAAAUAACACCUUUGGACUUUUAAUGUAUGUUUAUGUAAAAUGUGAGUGGCAGUUCCAUGUUAAUAGACCUUGUUUAGGGGAAAAAAAAAAAGAAAAAAAAUCAGUUGCUGAACGAUGGUGAGUAAUUAGCCCCUUAGCAUCCCCUUUCUCCAGGAAUGCUUCCUCCUGAGCUGGCUCUUUUAAAUAGCUCCGGUCCUGGCUGCCUUUGUUGAGCUUGGAAAUUGUGCACAUAUGAGAGAAAUUAAGCCCUCAUUUAACAGGGACACAUGUCUGUCAAGUCCAGAGGAACAAAGGCUGGUCCCUGGGGGCUACUCAGCUCCCUGAGGCUGCCACUCAUUCUGUUAGCAAUGCUUACCCUUUACAGAUUGUGUAUAAAACCCAAUAAAUCAUUUCAUCUGCUCUGGUUAAUAUACGCAUGAGCCUGGGACUUCCUUCAAAGUUUUUUUUUUUCUUUUGCUUGCAACUCCUCACAUUUAUUAAGAAGUGACCUCUCUUUGCCAGAGUUUAGCCAGGUUUUUACCUUUAUGCAAUAACAUUAAUGUCUGUGAAGUAAACCUGAAGCAUUUACUGGCAGAAAUAAAGACAUUUGAUGCUGCAUCUAUUUCACACAGGAAAUGUUUUACGACUCUUUAAUGGUCAAUAAUCAUCAGUGUCUAUUGUAUAAAUUACUAUUAUAUUCUGUUCCUCCUAAAGUUAUGUCUAAAAUGCCUGCAUAUUUCAACUAAUAUCAAAAUGAUAGGGUAAAUAAAAUUACAGAUUUGUAGCCUUGCAUAGAAAGAGACUCUUUUCCUAAUUAAAACAAAUCAAAAGGAAAGUAAUAAAGAUAGCAUUUUAGUUUUGUUCUUUACAAAGUGUUAUCAUAUUGUCCUGGAUAAAUCAAAAGAAAAAGGACUCUGAAGAUUAAAAAAAAAAACAAACAACAACUUAAUUGCACAAAGUGAUAACUGAAGUAAACACAUGCAAGACAAAAAUAUUCAUGCACAAUAUAACAGCUGCCUCUGAGCUUUCUGUGGUGGAUGGACACACUUAUCCCCAAAUAUAAAUUCACACACAGAGCAGAGGAAUAUUUUACAGUUACAAAAAAAAAGUAAAAUGAAAUGCUGUCAUUUCCACGUGAGCUCCUUUUGUAUUUAAAAAGAGGGCCUAAUUCUGUACUUCUAGAAUUAAGACUGACAUAAAUGGAAAGAACAUGAACAACACCAGCUGAGGAAAUGGCACCCUGCACUGCAUUCAAUGAAGCAAAACUCUCACUAAGUUGAGCGUGAGUUUUUCCUUAUACUUGAGCAUAGGAUUAAGCAAAUACAGAAAAAUUACUGGUGUAGAAUAAAAAACAAAUUAAAGUGCAGAGUUGUAUCUUCUUUCUCUGAAAUGGUGAAAGAAAUAUUUCAAUGCCUGCCAUUAACAGGGCCCUUUUUUUUUUAAUUUUGUCCACUCUGCAAUUUUUAGCUAACACAUUGAAAGCCUGCCAUUUCUCAAGCAACAAUAUUACGCUUUGUAUUGAAAACCACAAAAUAAAGAGGGCUGACUGUUCUGACAGCUUUAAUCCUGAUGAUACUUGGAGACCCAAGUAAAAAGAAACUGGUACAGCAUGGAGUUUUCCCUGCUCAGCAGGCAGAGAAAAAGCAGUUCUGGAUUUGAUAAGUAAAACCAGAUCUAGUUGAUGGUUAUAUGCUAAAGCCCUGCAAUUAAUGGAAAACAUCAACAGUCCAAUGAUCUUGCAUGUCAGUGGGGUCUUUGAGAAGGCCUUUUCUCCCAUCUUGUUAAAAACUCAUCAGCUGUACAAGUCAGGACUUUUUUUGUGUACAGAAUCGUGCAUGUUCCUCUGUUGUCAAAGGGGAAGACAUAAAAUAUCAAGACUCCAGAUCCCAUUUAUACAUUAAACAAAUCCCUGUGCAUGUUAUUAUAGAUAUUUCUCACUGCAAAUUCGUGACACAGUAGCAAUGAAAAGCACCAGGCAGGAUUAUGCCCUCAACAUGAGGGGCUUCAAAAAUAUGAAGAUGUGGCCCACUUGUCCUGAAGGAUCUGACAGUCAGAAAAAACUGUUGUAGUAAUGGCUCAUUUUUGUUAAAAAUUGCAAUCACGGUUAAAAAACAUCCGUCCUGAGACUGUCAUCAAAGGCUACAAUUCAGUGUAUAUUAAAACCAAGAUAUUUACAAAUAAUAACACUUUAUAAAAACAAAUCUCUGCAAAUAAAACAUGAUACUAUUAUUUCAUGCCCCUGCAAUCCUGAAAGUGACAGAAAUGCAAUCAAUAACCUAUUUCUCCAUAACGAAAACUGUACAAUGCUAUGUACAUAUGUGCAUUGUUCAGCUCAAUAGGGAUCUACACCUUUGCCUCCACCACACGAACAUAAAGUGCAUUUCUGAAUAAUUGACUGAACAGACAUCAAAAAGGGAAGUGACUGUGUCUACUAUGCAGCCACAGUAACAGUCAGGAAUGAUUUUGAAAGUGUAAGUAAAUGAAAAGUAAGCCAUUAUCAGCAAAAAUAAGUGUGCCAUAAAAGUAGUCUUCAUUCUGGAAAGAACCUGGCUAAAUCUGAUUUGAAUUGGGUUCAAAUUAAAAACCUUGAUCCACAAGUCACAAAACAAAGUAAAGACUUUGUUUGAGCAGAAUCUGAUUCAUUCAUCAAUGCCCAUAUCACAUUUACUUGGUAACAGAAGAUUGGUUUCUAAAGUUGGUCAUAAGCAAGCAUUACCCCAGGGUGGAUUUUUCCCCUUGAGCAAAAGUGAUCAGAAACUCUGAGCCACUUUAUCCACCUACUUUUUACAGAUCAAAAUGCAAAAUGUUGCCGUGAAAACAAGGGAGAAUAUGCAAAGGUGUUAUAUGCUAUGUAUGCCACUGACAUAAUACUUUAAUAGGAUAUGCUGUAAUUUCCUGCAAUUAAUAUCUUAGCAGAGCUAUAAAGGCUUUUUUCCAAAAUUAUACCAUUGCAUUUACAACACUAAAAUUAACGUUGUGUCAACCUUUCCAUUAUAAGCCCCCUUCUUCAGAGGUUUAUAACUUGGCUGUAAAAAUAUAUUCUGGCCUAAAAUGUGGCAUGUAAGGUCCCCAUUUAGAAACAGACAUUUUGAUUAAAUAAAAAACAUUAUUUAAGUCUGUUUCAAGUAAGUCUUGAAUGCCCUACAAACUGUAGGGACUGCCAAGAAGUGUAGGCAUUCUUCGAAUAAAAACUUAUUUUCUCUCCACAAUAAAGCCACUGUUCAAAGGACGUUUCACAGCCACGGAAUUUGCUCCACAUCUGCAAGGAAAAUACGUGGAUUUGGGAAACUGCAGACUUCAGUGAGAGCAGCCUCCCCACUUGCCUGUUUGUGUGUGACAAUGGCUGUGCUUCUGGUCAGCAGCUCAGCCACAUGGGAGACUCAAGCUACCCAAAAUGGUUUUCGUUUGUGGCCGGGCAGUGGGUGAGAGGAACAAACAGAUAUUUCUCUGUCUGGCUGAAGUGGAUUCACUCUGGCUUAAAGAUCCAACAGAGUAAAUUAGGGCAAGUGAUAAGUUCACAGAAAGUCAUGAUAAAGAAUAUGAUCAAAAUGGCAGAGAACCACCCUAUGAAUUCUGAAACCACACAUUUCAAGUCUGUCAAAUUUCAUGAAAGAACUGGAUCAAGCCACUUCGGAAAUUUAACUAAGGUGCUUAAAUUAGGAACCUCGUUGUCUAAUCAACAGAAGGUAAUUCACAGCACCUGGACUGCUUUAUAUAUGGAGCCAAAAGUCCUAAUUCAGUCACCCAAAUUAGAUAUCUAAAAUUAGAUGCCCCCAAAUAUCUAUAUGCUUUUUAUUCUGCCUCAAAAGAGUGUUGUGAGGAUAAUACCCUUCAGCUUAUGAGACACUCAGAUAUGCAGUUACAGAGGAGAUGAGUAUCCUGAAAAUAUAUCACCAAUAAAAUUCAAUGAGAUGGAAAAGGCAAAGCUAGAAAUGUGAUAGUAGCGUUCGUCAUACCAAUCACUCCUUGUCAGAGCAAAAACAAGCUCCAUACCCCCUCUUCUGAGUAGGGUUUAUCUCUAUAUAUUAUAUUAUAUACAUUGCUUUGUCAAGUACAGAACCUCAGUCUGUGCUUAGGCUAUUAGGUACAUAUUGCCCUAUUUUGUUACCUGUAGCCAGUAGCCACGCAACGCAUUUGUCUACCUGAUCUAGAUUUUAAGCCAAACAUAUAUUCUCCCAACUGGUUAAUCUCUCAUUUACAGAAUAAAAAUGCCUAAUAUGUUACUUGGAAAUAAAGUUCACUAACUCAGAAGUGCCUUUCCAUACUGUGCAACAGUGGUGUGUCUCAAGAUGGAUUUCACACUUCACCAUCAACUGUGAAGUUCUUUGCUUUUAUUAUUUGGUGUUACAACUUUAAUGGUUUCUUACACUGUCAUUUCGGGUGGGUGAAUAAGAUUAAUUCAGCAUUUCAUAAUGCACCAUUGUAUACUGUUUACAUCAUUUAUUUUCUUUUUACUGAAUGAUUACAAAUUUCAAUUUAAAGUUAAUAACAUUUGGUGGGAGUUGCUACAUGUGAAUUAACUGUGGUGAUGUCAGUGCAUCCCUCUGGAAUUUAAAAGAUAUUUCACUGUGUUAUAUCAUGUGCCGCACAGUAUAUCAAUUUUUAUUUCCCAUCCCUCAAGUAUGGAAUGCACACUGUGUAACUUCUAGAUUCUCAAUAUAGACAUAAUUUACCCAAGCUGUGCAAAUGCCCAACUUGCUGAAGAUGAUAUACACAAGAUUUAUAUUAAAGGCUAGUUCUUUCAAGGAAGCAAAAGCCUUGCAUACUACACAAGACACUAUAUUAUCUAAUUAUUUGGGGAGAGGGCUUUCUAAUGUUACAGACAAAGGGAAAUAGCAUGUAAACUGCAGUCAUAAACCAAUUUUUCCUUACUUUAACAACUUUAAGAUUAGAUAGGUAAAUCCCAGGCAAAGCCAUUUAUCCUCCUUGAGAACUACGCUUCGACAUUUUUGUGAGUGUCUGGAUCAGCUGGUUGCAUAAAACAGUGAAUAUUAGAAAUAUUCAUUCACUUUACUUUUACUUACAUGCCAUCAAGCAUAUACCAAAUGUUUAACAGCAUCUAGUUUACUCAUUUGCUGGAUUGCACAUACUACUGCUUUCUUUAUGUGAAUUCAUAAUUCCUGAAUGCAUUCAGAGAGCAAUGCACUUACUUCUUCCUUGCUGUCAUGAUAUUAAGUAUAUUAAAAAUAAGUUUUUAUGCUCAAAUUGAUUCAGUAAUACGCUUACAUUCUGGAAUAUUCCCACAAUUACAACUAAAAAAUGCUUUGAUUCCUAGGCCAGGAUUUAGUUCAUCUGAUAAAUUUAAGUUUUUACUGUGAGAUUUCAAGAAGUAUUUUACAAUUUAUUUGCUAUAUGCUUUUGGCCUUUUUAAUGUGGGGCUGUACUUCAUCAUUUUCCUCCAAGUACCUGCUUCUGCAGACAGAAAUUUUGACCUCUGAUAUCAUCACAUUCCAGCUUUGUCUGUAUAUCUGAAUAUCUCCAUAAAUCAAGUCAUUUCAAUACUAGAAUUUAUUAAAUGUUUUCUUUUUCCAGUAUCUACUGAUUAGUGCGUCAAAUAGUGGAGGUGGCAGAAUUAAAAAAUAUAAAUAAAUAAAAAGGAAAUAGAAAAAAAGCAAUGCAAAACUUGAUUGUUUUCCCUCUUGGCUAUAACGUGGUUGUCAAACAUAAAAAUCAUCACAGGAAAAGUAACUGAAUGUAAUGAAGGGCCAAUAUCUCAAACAGUUUCUGUCAGUCCUGGGAUAUGCUUCCAUGUAACAUGAAAAAGAGCUGGCAAGCCCAAAUGGUUGCCUCUUUUUUCCAGCUACAUCUAUUUGUCUAAUGAAACAAAUUACAUUCCCUAAAAUCCCUGCCACAUUUAUACCUUUGAUAUUCCAACCACAAUACUAAUAUCCCAAGUCCUUCCUUGCAAGAAGUGCUCACUUAUGCAAAGCCCAGUUGUGUGAGUAACAGUACACAAGUCAUCAAACACUGCCUGAGCAGGAAUUACUCAAGCAAAUAAGGCUUCACAGGAUCAGUCCUGUUGGAUAGGCUGCCAGUUGGCACCAUUUCCACUCCCAGUUAUCCAUUUUACUUUGUGCACAUGCCACUUAGGAAUGAAACUGGAUUUCUGUGCUGGAGCAAAUAGCUCCAUUACUAUUGCAUUAUCCCAAAUAUUGCAAUAUUGAAAGGAGAACAUCAUCAGACUGACGAAAUGGCACCAGAGAUGUUCAGAGGGGCAUCACCUCUUCCAAACUUCUUGGGAACCAGACAAGGGUGCCUGGCUCAGCCACAGCUGUUGCUCCACACUAGGCUAGAACAGGCAGAGCACCAACCAAGAGUGACCCCCAAGCAGCAGCACAGGUGGGCAGCAAAUAUUUACUAGAUCCUCUGCUGUUAUUCAGGAGCUGCUUAUAAUCUGCCUCUAAAUUAAAAGGGCUCAAAUCAUGGGCUCUUCUAUAAGUGAAGCCCGCAGAAGAAGUGUCUGGGCUGAAUAGAAUCAGUGAGAUUUUAGCCUCUGGCUUUGGCAGAGGCACAGCUGCGAACAAGCCCUUAAGCCACUGGUGAGGAUGCAGCACAGCACGCCCCAAGCAAACGAAGCAGCAGGACUUGAACUGGGGAUGCCUAUAUCUUCAUUUCCAAUUUUAAAACACACGUGGGAGAGGGAUAGUGGGAGGACAGCUACUAUUAUUUUCUGCACCAACAUGAGCCCAAGAAACAAUGACAUUUACUUUGGUUUAACUAAUUUCCACACAUCAGAUCAUGUUCGGCACCCGUGUGCCAAAGUCCUAUUCUUCAAGUCUGUUGAAAUACUACUUUUCGAAACAUGUGUGCUAACAUUUGGCCAACACCACCACAAGAUCAUUUUAUUAACUUGUAGCUCAUUUCAUAGACUGCUGCUCAUGUUGCUAACAUAUGCUAUUCUACCAUUUACUGCUCUAUAAUUAGAGAAGUCAUAUGAAAGAGAUACACAAGGCCUAAUUUUUGCAUUAAAUACAAUUUGUUUAGACUCGGGUAGGCGAAAUAAGGAAAAAAGGAGUCACAUAGUGAAUUAGAAAACUGAAAGACAGCUAAUUUAACUCCUAAAAGGUCACAGCAAAAAAUUUUUAAAACACAGCCUCCCUGCCCCCUCAUGACUGCAUACAGUUUUAAGAGUCAAAUCCAGAACUAUAUUCUGCUCUGCCAGGAUAAAACUUGUUUCCAGGGACUGAGGGCCUCAGGGGCAGAGCAGCUAGGAGGAUCCUUGCAAAUGGGGGACUAAGGGGUAAGAUCAGAAGCUUACAACUAGCAGAGGAGUAUGAACCUUUCACACACUGUGUCUUUUCCACCAUCACCACGCUGUUAUGCCAAAGCAUUUGUAGUAUGGAAGAGGUGGAAUAAAGAUAGAGAGCAUCACCAGAAUAUUUAUUAUAGCAAUAUUUAUUAUUGAGCAGCAUGUGCUGCUCAGAGAAGGCAAGGAUCCUACAUCACUUCUCCUUCCUCACAGCUGACAGAGAAAAUUCCAAGCCAGCUGGCCAUGAAGAUGCCUUUUACUGGGAAAAGCUGGCUGUUAACAGAUCUUUUGCUUGAAAAAUUAUCACAUAAGGACUUUAGAACUCAUUAACAAGCCAGUAUGUAACAAUAAAUAAAAUAUCAAACAUUUGACUUUGAUGUUUAGCAUAUUUGUCUUUCCUCCAUUGGACCAGUUUCAGUUUUCACCAGGCAAGUUAGGAGCUGGACAGGAGCCGUGGUGCCACACCUAGGGCAGAGCCUCUGAAGUGGAAUCAGCGAUUUAGCAGCCAGCUACAAGUUACAGGCACACAACAGCAUUUCUCUCUUCCAACUGCACACAACUGCAUUGCAGAAGGGACUCGGAUAUAUAUUAUUUUUAAUACUGAGCUGCUUAAAAAACAGUAAAAAUAUAUACCAGUGACAGCUGGGAAUCAAUUCACAAGCAAACUGGGUUUUAAGGGAAAUGCAUCCUUUCUACUGUAAAUUAAUAAACUGCAGCUAUAGUUUAUUAAGCCACCACAAUAUUUUACAUUUUCUAGUGCCGUAAUCUUGACUGCUUAUAAAUUACAGUACUUUUACCUAUUCUUUAAUCCAGAAACAUCAUUAUUAAAAUGUUUGAUGGAGGCUGCAGUGCAUCUAUCAUUGCUUGUAAAAGUUAAUUAGAUUAGAUAAAAGAAAUAAUUAGAUUUGCAUUUUUAUCCUGGUUUUAAACUUCCAAAGAAGAUCACAACAGUGUGCCUGUGGGCAAUUAAAAACAGCAUAGAGCAGUGAAAUAUAAAGGCAAAAAAGGUCUGUUUUUCCUAGCUAAUUCAUGAUUGAAGAUACAAUUACAAAAUAUUUUAAGGGUUUGCUGAAGCUGGGGGCUAUUCCUAGACUUCUAAGCUUUGUUUAUAACUCUCUCUCUCUUUCAAGGGAGUAUCUGAUUUGUGUACCCUGCCAAUAGAAAUAUCAAAUUGCUUUCAAUGGCUUUAUUUGGUCCUGUGCAGGGCUUGCUGGAAGGGGAUCAGUUUCAUGAUCAAUAACCAAAAAAAAAAAAAAAUAGAAAAGAAAAGAAGAAAAGGUAGAGAAGAGUAUUCCCUAGUGCUGGAACAGUACAGCUGCCAUUGCUUUUUCUUGUCAACACUAAAUAGAAUUUACAAAGAAAGACAGCCUCAGACAGCAUGACUGAGCUGACAAUGACUGGAUUCCAGCUUGUGCAUUUUCAGCAAACUCUCUGCAAGGAGCUUUAACCUGUCUCCAAAAGGCAAUAAAUGAAAGUUCAGCUCUUUAAAAUUGGAGGUCAGUUACAUACUUAAUGAUGAAGCAUAGCUUUAAAUCUAUUUCUACUAUUAUUAUCCUAGCAAAAAAUUAAUUAACCAGGUCAGGGAGGCUGUGAAGGCUAAUGUGGAAUGUAAUUAUUCCUGAUCUUUAGACAUGUACUUCACAUAAAGACAUAGUCCUUAUUCAGCUCACCAGGUACCUCAAUUGUCAGUAGUUAAUCAUGGAUAAGAAGAGAGACUCAUUGGUUCAGUCUCUUAAGUUUUACUUAUGAUUCAAAUCAUUCCUAUUCAAAGACAGUUUAAAUAGUUGUAAUUUUAUGUUACCAUUCUUUUGUCUGUUUACUAUCACAGUAAUCACUUUUACUCUAUUUGAGGGAAACAGAAAAGGUAAGAACAUUUAUAGGAAAGUAGAACAGCAUGAAUGUAUAGAUUAAAACUUGAAAAAAAAAAUUAGGAAUAAUUUCUAGUGGCUGAAUUAAAACAGAAGACUUAUGAGAGCAGAGGAAACCAGUUUCCAUAUGCAGUGGAAAUUGUACUGAUUCAAACAGGAAACAAAAUGCUCUGCAAUGGCAUUGGGCACAGUAAAGAGGAAAAAGGUGAAGGGAAAUGGACAAAAGCAGCUUGGAUCAUCUUUCACAGUUAUCCUCAUCACAGAUUUCUGCAGAAAAGCUCAAUCAUCACUGUCCCUUUUAAAGACUUCAGAUUUAGGACUUGCUCAGAUGAAACCUACCCACAAGGAGGAAAGCCCUAAAAACUUUCAUCCCUUAAAUCCACAUACACACCCCCAUUCUCAGAGGGAAAUCCUGGAGCAACAGGCUCCAUGUGGAGCCAGGUGGAUCAGUGGGAUCCACCUCUUUUCCUCAGAUGGGCAUGGUGGGGCUCAGAAGAAUUCCCCAUGCCUCAUUCUGAAAGGACUGGAUUCUCAUAAUGAGGCACAGAAUUCACAGGGAUUUCAGGACCCUGUUUUGGAAACAUUUAAGAAAUGCAUGUCUUCACUUUUUCCCAUCUCAUCUUCAUGAUGUACUAUGGAAUUCCUCCCUUAACCAGCUUUUUCACUUAUUCCUAGAGAUUUUCACUUUCAUAGCACAGGCUAAGAGAUGUUCUUGAAUUAGUCCAAUUAUGUUCCCUCUACUUCAGAAUGAAUAUUUUUUUUAUUAAACAAUCAAAUGAAAAAGCAUAUAUUUUACAAAAAUCUUAAUCAACCUGGAGACAGAUCUCUGAGCUCUUAUUUGCCCCACGUUAUUUUCUCAACUUUAAUUUGCACUGAAAUCAAUUAUUUCUCUGCACAGCUCUGCAGAAUAAAGAACUUAAUUUGGCAUACUAGAUUUCCUUCCAUCUCUGUGGACUCCUCUGUAGAAGAGUGUUUAUGAACAUUAUGAACAUUUGAGCUGAAAAGUAAUAAUACACUGCAUUUAUUUGAAAAUUUUCGUUUAAAAUACUCAAAACAUUACAUUUAAAUUGAGGGAAAGGAUAUGAUUUGCCAAAUUUCUGAUAAUCAGAGACAGGACUGAGAAGUCCAGAUUCCCACUCCUUUUAGCCAACAAAACUGCUUUUCCCAACACAUAGACUGAUAGAAACAUUAGCUUCACGUAGAAGACAUCAGAUGAUUAUGCAGAACAUUUAAUGACCUCUGUACUCUUGAAAUACCUACCUUUUUUUGCAUACACUAAGUCUAGAUAAAGUGCUCUUUGGUCAUAGAUUAUUGACAAAGUUUUGGAUGUAUAAGAAGUCUGCAGUAAGGUGCUCCAGUAAAUGGUCUCAAAACAAAAUUUAAAAAAAAAAAAAAAAAA
Motacilla alba alba is the source of this 21099-nucleotide long non-coding RNA. RefSeq lists it as uncharacterized. The transcript is spliced from 2 exons. The record is from RefSeq and is a predicted model, not a curated record. NCBI's taxonomy places the organism in Eukaryota, Metazoa, Chordata, Aves, Passeriformes, Motacillidae.